GAUAUGCGGAGGAACACCGAUGGAGUAGGCAAUGCCUGUACCUGUACUGACGCUCAUGCACUAAAGCGUGGGGAGCUAACAGGAUUAGAUACCGUGGUAGUGCACGCCCUUAACGAUGUCUACUGGUCGUGGGUCUCAACUGACUCAGUAACGAUGCUAACGCGUGAAGUUGACCGCCUGGGGAGUACGGCCGCAAGGUNGAAACCCAAAGGAAUUGACGGGGACCCGCACAAGCGGUGGAUGAUGUGGUUUAAUUCGAUGCAACGGGAAAAACCUUANCCACCUUUGACAUGUACGGAAGGAUCCAGAGAUGGAUUUGUGCUCGAAAGAGAACCGUAACACAGGUGCUGCAUGGCUGUCGUCAGCUCGUGUCGUGAGAUGUUGGGUCAUGUCCCGCAACGAGCGCAACCCUUGUCAUCAGUUGCUA
This 427-nucleotide ribosomal RNA is filed under the name uncultured bacterium. Its description in RNAcentral is "bacterial SSU rRNA". It matches the Rfam family "Bacterial small subunit ribosomal RNA", at positions 693 to 1120 of the family's 1533-position model. The record is from RNAcentral.